GAUGAACGCUGGCGGCGUGCUUAACACAUGCAAGUCGAACGAUGAAGCCCAGCUUGCUGGGUGGAUUAGUGGCGAACGGGUGAGUAACACGUGAGUAACCUGCCCUUAACUCUGGGAUAAGCCUGGGAAACUGGGUCUAAUACCGGAUAGGAGCGUCCACCGCAUGGUGGGUGUUGGAAAGAUUUAUCGGUUUUGGAUGGACUCGCGGCCUAUCAGCUUGUUGGUGAGGUAAUGGCUCACCAAGGCGACGACGGGUAGCCGGCCUGAGAGGGUGACCGGCCACACUGGGACUGAGACACGGCCCAGACUCCUACGGGAGGCAGCAGUGGGGAAUAUUGCACAAUGGGCGCAAGCCUGAUGCAGCGACGCCGCGUGAGGGAUGACGGCCUUCGGGUUGUAAACCUCUUUCAGUAGGGAAGAAGCGAAAGUGACGUUACCUGCAGAAGAAGCACCGGCUAACUACGUG
Molecule: ribosomal RNA, 466 nt
Filed under: uncultured bacterium
Lineage: Bacteria
Description: partial 16S ribosomal RNA
Rfam family: Bacterial small subunit ribosomal RNA
Source: RNAcentral